RNAcentral lists this ribosomal RNA (1438 nucleotides) under uncultured organism. RNAcentral's name for it is "SSU rRNA". It matches the Rfam family "Bacterial small subunit ribosomal RNA". The record is from RNAcentral.
CGCUAGCUACAGGCUUAACACAUGCAAGUCGAGGGGCAUCAGGAAGAAAGCUUGCUUUCUUUGCUGGCGACCGGCGCACGGGUGAGUAACACGUAUCCAACCUGCCCUUUACUCGGGGAUAGCCUUUCGAAAGAAAGAUUAAUACCCGAUAGCAUAAUGAUUCCGCAUGGUUUCAUUAUUAAAGGAUUCCGGUAAAGGAUGGGGAUGCGUUCCAUUAGGUUGUUGGUGAGGUAACGGCCCACCAAGCCUUCGAUGGAUAGGGGUUCUGAGAGGAAGGUCCCCCACAUUGGAACUGAGACACGGUCCAAACUCCUACGGGAGGCAGCAGUGAGGAAUAUUGGUCAAUGGGCGCUAGCCUGAACCAGCCAAGUAGCGUGAAGGAUGAAGGCUCUAUGGGUCGUAAACUUCUUUUAUAUAAGAAUAAAGUGCAGUAUGUAUACUGUUUUGUAUGUAUUAUAUGAAUAAGGAUCGGCUAACUCCGUGCCAGCAGCCGCGGUAAUACGGAGGAUCCGAGCGUUAUCCGGAUUUAUUGGGUUUAAAGGGAGCGUAGGUGGACUGGUAAGUCAGUUGUGAAAGUUUGCGGCUCAACCGUAAAAUUGCAGUUGAUACUGUCAGUCUUGAGUACAGUAGAGGUGGGCGGAAUUCGUGGUGUAGCGGUGAAAUGCUUAGAUAUCACGAAGAACUCCGAUUGCGAAGGCAGCUCACUGGACUGCAACUGACACUGAUGCUCGAAAGUGUGGGUAUCAAACAGGAUUAGAUACCCUGGUAGUCCACACAGUAAACGAUGAAUACUCGCUGUUUGCGAUAUACAGUAAGCGGCCAAGCGAAAGCAUUAAGUAUUCCACCUGGGGAGUACGCCGGCAACGGUGAAACUCAAAGGAAUUGACGGGGGCCCGCACAAGCGGAGGAACAUGUGGUUUAAUUCGAUGAUACGCGAGGAACCUUACCCGGGCUUAAAUUGCAGUGGAAUGAUGUGGAAACAUGUCAGUGAGCAAUCACCGCUGUGAAGGUGCUGCAUGGUUGUCGUCAGCUCGUGCCGUGAGGUGUCGGCUUAAGUGCCAUAACGAGCGCAACCCUUAUCUUUAGUUACUAACAGGUUAUGCUGAGGACUCUGGAGAGACUGCCGUCGUAAGAUGUGAGGAAGGUGGGGAUGACGUCAAAUCAGCACGGCCCUUACGUCCGGGGCUACACACGUGUUACAAUGGGGGGUACAGAAGGCAGCUAGCGGGUGACCGUAUGCUAAUCCCAAAAGCCUCUCUCAGUUCGGAUCGAAGUCUGCAACCCGACUUCGUGAAGCUGGAUUCGCUAGUAAUCGCGCAUCAGCCACGGCGCGGUGAAUACGUUCCCGGGCCUUGUACACACCGCCCGUCAAGCCAUGGGAGCCGGGGGUACCUGAAGUACGUAACCGAAAGGAUCGUCCUAGGGUAAAACUGGCGAC